AGCCUUGUACACACCGCCCGUCAAGUCAUGGAAGCCGGGAGUGCCCGAAGUUGCCAGGUUUCACUGGUGCCCACGGCAAGCUCGGUGACUGGGACU
RNAcentral lists this ribosomal RNA (96 nucleotides) under uncultured bacterium. RNAcentral's name for it is "partial 16S ribosomal RNA". It matches the Rfam family "Bacterial small subunit ribosomal RNA", at positions 1377 to 1482 of the family's 1533-position model. The record is from RNAcentral.